Molecule: ribosomal RNA, 505 nt
Filed under: uncultured bacterium
Lineage: Bacteria
Description: partial 16S ribosomal RNA
Rfam family: Bacterial small subunit ribosomal RNA
Source: RNAcentral
GACGAACGCUGGCGGCGUGCCUAAUACAUGCAAGUAGAACGCACAGUUUAUACCGUAGCUUGCUACACCAUAGACUGUGAGUUGCGAACGGGUGAGUAACGCGUAGGUAACCUGCCUGGUAGCGGGGGAUAACUAUUGGAAACGAUAGCUAAUACCGCAUAAUAUUGAUUAUUGCAUGAUAAUUGAUUGAAAGAUGCUAUUGCAUCACUACCAGAUGGACCUGCGUUGUAUUAGCUAGUAGGUGAGGUAACGGCUCACCUAGGCGACGAUACAUAGCCGACCUGAGAGGGUGAUCGGCCACAAUGGGACUGGGACACAGCCCAGACUCCUACGGGAGGCAGCAGUAGGGAAUCUUCGGCAAUGGACGAAAGUCUGACCGAGCAACGCCGCGUGAGUGAAGAAGGUUUUCGGAUCGUAAAGCUCUGUUGUAAGAGAAGAACGGGUGUGAGAGUGGAAAGUUCACACUGUGACGGUAUCUUACCAGAAAGGGACGGCUAACUACGUG